RNAcentral lists this long non-coding RNA (315 nucleotides) under Nicotiana tabacum (common tobacco). Its description in RNAcentral is "long non-coding RNA (NTAB_LNC016610)". Lineage: Eukaryota; Viridiplantae; Streptophyta; Magnoliopsida; Solanales; Solanaceae. The record is from RNAcentral.
UUAUUUCGAACUUAUCGAAAUAACAGCCCGUUGUCGUUCGGUCGAGGUUGAACCUUCUCUUUUUUGGCGAAGGCCCUUGGCCUUAAAGGGUGUUAUUUCGAACAUAUCAAAAUAACAGUCCGUCGUCAUUCGAUCGAGGUCAAACCCUUCUCUUUUUUUGGCGAAGGCCCUUGGCCUUAAAGGGUGUUAUUUCGAACUUAUCGAAAUAACAGCCCGUCAUUGUUCGAUCGAGGUCGAACCCUUCUCUUUUUUUGGCGAAGGCCCUUGGCCUUAAAGGGUGUUAUUUCGAACUUAUCGAAAUAACAACCUGUUGUC